GAUGAAGAACGCAGCGAAAUGCGAUAAGUAAUGUGAAUUGCAGAAUUCCGUGAAUCAUCGAAUCUUUGAACGCACAUUGCGCCCUUCGGUAUUCCGUUGGGCAUGCCUGUUCGAGCGUCAUUAGAAACUUCAAGCUCAGCUUGGUGUUGGGUGCUUGUCCCCGCCCGCGGCGGACUCACCUCAAAUGCAUUGGCGGCCGGUAUGUUGGCUACAGCGCAGUACAACGCGUCUGGCGUCUUGACAUACGGGUCCUCCAGAAGCCCCUUCUUUGACUUGACCUCGGAUCAGGUAGGGAUACCCGCUGAACUUAAGCAUAUCAAUAAGCGGAGGA
Molecule: unclassified non-coding RNA, 331 nt
Filed under: soil metagenome
Description: partial contains 5.8S ribosomal RNA, internal transcribed spacer 2, and large subunit ribosomal RNA
Rfam family: 5.8S ribosomal RNA (bases 1-120)
Source: RNAcentral